ACUGGGCAUGGUGGUGUAUGCCUGUAAUCCCAGCGACUCAAGAGGCUGAGGCAGGAGCAUUGAGAGUUCAAAGUCAGCCUCAGCAACUUAGUGAGGCACUUAGCAACUCAACAAGACCCUGUCUCUA
Molecule: small RNA, 127 nt
Filed under: Marmota monax (woodchuck)
Lineage: Eukaryota; Metazoa; Chordata; Mammalia; Rodentia; Sciuridae
Source: RNAcentral